Molecule: ribosomal RNA, 484 nt
Filed under: uncultured bacterium
Lineage: Bacteria
Description: partial 16S ribosomal RNA
Rfam family: Bacterial small subunit ribosomal RNA
Source: RNAcentral
AUUGAUCCCUGGCGGUAUGCUUAACACAUGCAAGUCGACCGGCAGCACGGGCUUCGCCCUGACGGCGUGUCGGCAACUGGUGUGUAAUGGAUUGCAACCUGCCCAGUAACGGGGUAUAGUCCGGCGAAAUCCGGAUUAUUACCGUACUCCACCUGAGGGUGAAAGCGGGUGCCCCAAAGGCCUCCCGCUAUUGCUGCAGCCGAUGUCGGAUUAGCUCGUUGGUGGGGUAAAGGCUUACCAAGGCGACGAUCCGUAGCUGGUCCGAGAGGACGACCAGCCACAGUGGGAGUGAGACACGGCCCGGACUCCUACGGGAGGCAGCAGUGGGGACUUUUGGACAAUGGGGGCAAGCGUGAUCCAGCCAUGCCGCGUGGGAGAAGAAGGCCUUCGGGUUGUAAACCGCUUUUGUUGGGGAAGAAAUCCUCUAGGCUGAUCCCCCGCUGGGAUGACGGUACCAGAAGAAUAAGCACCGGCUAACUACGUG